This 519-nucleotide ribosomal RNA is filed under the name uncultured Acidobacteriaceae bacterium. RNAcentral's name for it is "bacterial SSU rRNA". It matches the Rfam family "Bacterial small subunit ribosomal RNA", at positions 116 to 614 of the family's 1533-position model. Lineage: Bacteria; Pseudomonadati; Acidobacteriota; Terriglobia; Terriglobales; Acidobacteriaceae. The record is from RNAcentral.
CGUGGGUGAUCUGCCUUUGAGUGGGGGAUAACCUUCCGAAAGGAGGGCUAAUACCGCAUGACAUCCUGUUCUUGGAUGAACGGUGAUCGAAGCUGGGGACCGCAAGGCCUGGCGCUUGAAGAGGAGCCCGCGUCCGAUUAGCUAGUUGGUGGGGUAAUGGCCUACCAAGGCGACGAUCGGUAGCCGGCCUGAGAGGGCGGACGGCCACACUGGGACUGAGACACGGCCCAGACUCCUACGGGAGGCAGCAGUGGGGAAUUGUUCGCAAUGGGCGCAAGCCUGACGACGCAACGCCGCGUGGGGGAUGAAGGUCUUCGGAUUGUAAACCCCUGUUGGGUGGGACGAACMCUUUCGUGGUGAAUAUCCAUGGAGGCUGACGGUACCACCUGAGGAAGCCCCGGCUAACUCUGUGCCAGCAGCCGCGGUAAUACAGAGGGGGCAAGCGUUGUUCGGAAUUACUGGGCGUAAAGGGCGCGUAGGCGGCCUGUUAAGUCGGACGUGAAAUCCCUCGGCUCAACC